UACGUAGGGCGCGAGCGUUGGCCGGAUUUAUUGGGCGUAAAGAGCUCGUAGGCGGCUCGUCGCGUCGAUCGUGAAAACCCGCGGCUUAACUGCGGGCUUGCGGUUGAUACGGGCGGGCUAGAGUUCGGUAGGGGAGACUGGAAUUCAUGGUGUAGCGGUGAAAUGCGCAGAUAUCAGGAGGAACACCAGCGGCGAAGGCGGCGCUCUGGGCCGGUACUGACGCUGAGGAGCGAAAGCGUGGGGAGCAAACAGG
RNAcentral lists this ribosomal RNA (253 nucleotides) under uncultured bacterium. RNAcentral describes it as "partial 16S ribosomal RNA". It matches the Rfam family "Bacterial small subunit ribosomal RNA", at positions 524 to 776 of the family's 1533-position model. The record is from RNAcentral.